UAGGGAAUCUUCGGCAAUGGGGGGAACCCUGACCGAGCAACGCCGCGUGAGUGGAGAAGGUUUUCGGAUCGUAAAGCUCUGUUGUUAAGGAAGAACGAGUGUGAGAAUGGAAAGUUCAUACUGUGACGGUACUUAACCAGAAAGGGACGGCUAACUACGUGCCAGCAGCCGCGGUAAUACGUAGGUCCCGAGCGUUGUCCGGAUUUAUUGGGCGUAAAGCGAGCGCAGGCGGUUAGAAAAGUCUGAAGUGAAAGGCAGUGGCUCAACCAUUGUAGGCUUUGGAAACUGUUUAACUUGAGUGCAGAAGGGGAGAGUGGAAUUCCAUGUGUAGCGGUGAAAUGCGUAGAUAUAUGGAGGAACACCGGUGGCGAAAGCGGCUCUCUGGUCUGUCACUGACGCUGAGGCUCGAAAGCGUGGGGAGCGAACAGGAUUAGAUACCCUGGUAGUCCACGCCGUAAACGAUGAGUGCUAGGUGUUGGGUCCUUUCCGGGGCUCAGUGCCGCAGCUAACGCAUUAAGCACUCCGCCUGGGGAGUACGACCGCAAGGUU
RNAcentral lists this ribosomal RNA (549 nucleotides) under uncultured bacterium. RNAcentral's name for it is "bacterial SSU rRNA". It matches the Rfam family "Bacterial small subunit ribosomal RNA", at positions 355 to 895 of the family's 1533-position model. The record is from RNAcentral.